RNAcentral lists this transfer RNA (74 nucleotides) under Kwoniella pini CBS 10737. RNAcentral describes it as "tRNA-Lys (TTT) (tRNA-Lys-TTT-2-1)". It matches the Rfam family "tRNA". Rfam says of the family: Transfer RNA (tRNA) molecules are approximately 80 nucleotides in length. Their secondary structure includes four short double-helical elements and three loops (D, anti-codon, and T loops). Lineage: Eukaryota; Fungi; Basidiomycota; Tremellomycetes; Tremellales; Cryptococcaceae. The record is from RNAcentral.
GCCCACGUAGCUCAAUUGGUUAGAGCAUCCGACUUUUAAUCGGAAGGCUGGGGGUUCGAGUCCCCCCGUAGGCU